GAUUAUGAGGGUGCAACUGAGGCAAAUGCAUGGAGGCUUCUCGCAGAGGUCUCACUCUCUGAAGCAAGGUUCCAAGAAGUGACUGCUCUCAUCUUUGAAGCCAUUAGUCUCAGUGUUGAAGAGAACGAGGACGGCACUGAUGGUUCUCCUGAGGAUCUAGAUGUCACACCUCCACAGCCCAUGGAGGAGAUUGAUGGUCUCAACACCCACAGUACCAUGGUUCCCGCCUAGGGUUUUCACGGCCCAGCUCUGGUGUUCAUCGCAUGUUAUUAUUUCAUGAGUUUCCAUCUCUAGCUGCCCUUGUGAAAUAUCACUUAAAUAAGGCAAAACCAUGUUCAAUGUAUUUGAUGAAAUCUGGUCUGUUCCUCUGUGAAUUGAACCUUGUGUAUUAUUGCUUUUUUCUGGUAUAAGCCAUGUUCUAUGUAUAUGUAAUGUGGAGUUGGUGUGUG
Molecule: long non-coding RNA, 449 nt
Filed under: Solanum lycopersicum (tomato)
Lineage: Eukaryota; Viridiplantae; Streptophyta; Magnoliopsida; Solanales; Solanaceae
Description: long non-coding RNA (SLYC_LNC000343)
Source: RNAcentral